AUUGAACGCUGGCGGUAGGCCUAACACAUGCAAGUCGAGCGGACGAGAGGAGCUUGCUCCUCGAUUCAGCGGCGGACGGGUGAGUAAUGCCUAGGAAUCUGCCUAGUAGUGGGGGACAACGUUUCGAAAGGAACGCUAAUACCGCAUACGUCCUACGGGAGAAAGUGGGGGAUCUUCGGACCUCACGCUAUUAGAUGAGCCUAGGUCGGAUUAGCUAGUUGGUAGGGUAAAGGCCUACCAAGGCGACGAUCCGUAACUGGUCUGAGAGGAUGAUCAGUCACACUGGAACUGAGACACGGUCAAGACUCCUACGGGAGGCAGCAGUGGGGAAUAUUGGACAAUGGGCGAAAGCCUGAUCCAGCCAUGCCGCGUGUGUGAAGAAGGCCUUCGGGUCGUAAAGCACUUUAAGUUGGGAGGAAGAGCUCAUAGCGAAUACCUGUGAGUUUUGACGUUACCAACAGAAUAAGCACCGGCUAACUUCGUGCCAGCAGCCGCCGUAA
Molecule: ribosomal RNA, 500 nt
Filed under: uncultured bacterium
Lineage: Bacteria
Description: partial 16S ribosomal RNA
Rfam family: Bacterial small subunit ribosomal RNA
Source: RNAcentral